Molecule: ribosomal RNA, 253 nt
Filed under: uncultured bacterium
Lineage: Bacteria
Description: partial 16S ribosomal RNA
Rfam family: Bacterial small subunit ribosomal RNA
Source: RNAcentral
UACGAAGGGGGCUAGCGUUGCUCGGAAUCACUGGGCGUAAAGCGCACGUAGGCGGAUUGUUAAGUCAGGGGUGAAAUCCUGGAGCUCAACUCCAGAACUGCCCUUGAUACUGGCGGUCUCGAGUCCGGGAGAGGUGAGUGGAACUGCGAGUGUAGAGGUGAAAUUCGUAGAUAUUCGCAAGAACACCAGUGGCGAAGGCGGCUCACUGGCCCGGUACUGACGCUGAGGUGCGAAAGCGUGGGGAGCGAACAGG